Myiozetetes cayanensis is the source of this 2634-nucleotide long non-coding RNA. RefSeq lists it as uncharacterized. The transcript is spliced from 4 exons. NCBI's taxonomy places the organism in Eukaryota, Metazoa, Chordata, Aves, Passeriformes, Tyrannidae. The record is from RefSeq and is a predicted model, not a curated record.
CCAAGCAGCAGCUGGAAGAGCAGAAGAGGGAGCAGAAAAGCAAAAGACAAUGAAAAGCAAUUUCAAAACACUGUAGAAAGGUUAUGAAAAAUGAAAAAUGACAAGCAACAAUUUUCUUCAGCUACAAGGACAGCAAGUGCUAAUGAAGCAAGAUCAGCCUACAGCAACCCUGAGUCCACAAACAGCUGAUGACAACUGGUCGGUCCCAGUCAAGUCCCUGCCCUCCAUGUGCCUUUUCUAUGAAGUGAAGAUUGUAUUUGUUACAGCUUCUUUUCUCUGAGCUUUUCAUAUGGGAUACCAGCCCAUCUAUCAGAUCGCAUUUCAUCAUCUCUCAUGGAAGUCUGCGAGUGGGGCAGUUGUGGUGAGUGCAGCCAUUUCUACACAUCCCAUCCCAGACUGGGGACUGAAAGCUGGAUUCUAUCUUCCCUCCCACACAGACCAUCAAAGUGAUGCUCAUUUCCCUGUGCUAUUGCUGCCUUUGUCUUGUAGUGACACUGAUGCUUUAGCUGUCACCUGAAUGCCAUCCCUCAACCCUCUCCUUCCUGCCACCGCUCCGGUCCCAUUGAUGAGUGCCAUGGCACAGGAAUGCUGCUCGGAGCUAAACCACCAUGAGUCAUAUUGUUUUCUGAAGCAGGGCAGAAGUCAUUGAUGGGCACAUAUACUGAUAUGCAUCCAGAGAGGUAUAAUGAAAGAGGAUAACAAAAUACUAUGAAAAAUGCAGGAAAUCCCAGAGCACUUAUAAGCUGUCUGAUACACUUCUGAUUUACACAUCUGGCAAGAACUCUGGCAAGAAGUAAUGAGAAAGUUACAGAGUAUGAGGAAUCAGCAGUGCAGAGGACACUUCGCAUCUGUGAGAAGUGCAGGAAAACACCACCACCAUUCUCACUCAAGCUGGUUUGACAGAAUUAAAAAUGAACGCUUUCAUGAAAUAAGCAAGCAUCAAAGUCACCUCUCCUCCAGCAGUUCCCACCGACCAAGCAUUUCCUCUCGCUGCCUGACAGAAGGAAAAUCUGUGUCCCCAGUUCCUCAGAGACACAAUAUGCUCCAGUUCCAGGGCGACCUGUGUUUAGAAAAUCAAUUGAAGUGAAAGGGAGAACGAUAAACAUUUGAGAUCACUGGGGAGCUAAUGAUCCUCUUACAGUCCAAAGACACCACAAUUAUAGUAAUCUUUACACAAGACUGAGAACAGCAGCUCCUACCCUGAGCACACAUGUGGGAAACCUCCCCUGGGACUGAGUGCUCCUGACAAGCCAAGGUGUCACAGGGGAGCUGUAUCAGGCAGUCACUGCUCUGGGGUGAAAGGCAGGUCUGUUCGGUGCCAUGUUUAUGAUAAAGGGACACAUAUUCUCAUCUAUAAGGUACAUUAAUCUUUUUUGAUUCUUUAUUUUUUUGACUCACCUGUACCUUUGGUGUUUUUGUACUUUGCAUCCCCUGUUACAGAAUGGAAAGAUGAGGAGACAGAAAAAUAGCCAUGCUGGGACAUGGCUGGCUGUAUCUAGGCAAAAAACCUUGUUUCAGGGUGAGGUUUCCUACAGAAAGCUGCUUCUUCAGGGAGGGUUUUCCUAUAGAAAGCUGCCUGGUGCCCUGGGACCCAGCCUCUCCCAUUACCUCCCCAUGCCUGGCCAUUUCCCAGUCUCUGAUAAGGGAGUGCUGAUGAGGUUCAGAUGUGGAGUUGGCAGCCAUAGGUCCCAGUCGUGCUCUGCCUGCCAGAAAGCUUCAGAAACCAAACAUAUUGAGUUUAACCAGUUUCCAGUGACAGAAGUUUAAUUUUUCUUUCCUUUGGCAAAUCUAUUUAGCCUUUUUUUCUUAGUUGUUCUGGAUAGAUAAACACGGGUUUGAAUCACAGAUUUCGAGAUUCACACAUGAGUCAGAAACUUUGCUCUAGUUUUCUAAUUUUAUCCCUGUGGGUUUUUAUUUUAUCCACUUGUCCUGCAUAGCUUGUUUAUCUCCUGUAUUCUUUCAGCCCACUUCUGUUUGCUUCGUGAUUUGUCUCUUAGCACGUUGCUAUUCCACCUUCCUAAAAAUAAAAUCUUAAUCUUCUCAUUGAUUGCUCUGCCACCCACAACUGCAAUUUAUAAAGGCCUGUCACCACAUUCAAGUGCCAAUCUUCCUCAGUGAACAAGAACCACUUGACGGUGUUUUACAUCCUUCUGAAACCUCAUAUUCUGCUCUAGAUCUGACAGACCCAGGCUAGUAUACAAAAACUUGGAAGUCAAAAUUGGAUAGACUGGGUGGGAAGGAGGUAGCAUCUUUCUGGAAUAGUUUGUAUGUCCCAUGGACUGAUUUUUCUUUCAGUCUGCUGUCUCUGCACACUCACCCUUUAUACAGGAAUCUGUCUCUUUUUUUCACCUGCAGAAAAUGGAGUGCCAUAAAUAAGUUACCAUCUCCCCACUUACAAGUCCACCUCUUUUUAGAAAUCUGUGCAAAUAAGAGACAUUUAUCAGGCGCUUGAUAUAUGUUUUCCUCCUUAUUCUACUUGUUCAGUGCCCCCCAGGCAAAACCAAAAAACCAGUAACAUACUUAGCCCAGCAGGAAAUUUCUAUUAUUCACUUCAAAGAGCAUUAAAUACAAAUUUGAAGUCUGAGUACUAAGAUGACCCAUCCUUGAAGAAAAUAAUUCAGUUGAGUAACUAUU